RNAcentral lists this ribosomal RNA (698 nucleotides) under uncultured Actinomycetes bacterium. RNAcentral's name for it is "bacterial SSU rRNA". It matches the Rfam family "Bacterial small subunit ribosomal RNA", at positions 63 to 776 of the family's 1533-position model. The record is from RNAcentral. Lineage: Bacteria; Bacillati; Actinomycetota; Actinomycetes.
CGAGCGGAAAGGCUCCUUCGGGGGUACUCGAGCGGCGAACGGGUGAGUAACACGUGAGUAAUCUGCCCUUGGCUUCGGGAUAGCCACCGGAAACGGUGAUUAAUACCGGAUACGACACAUCACUGCAUGGUGCGUGUGUGGAAAGUUUUUUCGGCCAGGGAUGUGCUCGCGGCCUAUCAGCUUGUUGGUGGGGUAAUGGCCUACCAAGGCUUCGACGGGUAGCCGGCCUGAGAGGGUGACCGGCCACACUGGGACUGAGACACGGCCCAGACUCCUACGGGAGGCAGCAGUGGGGAAUAUUGGACAAUGGGCGGAAGCCUGAUCCAGCAACGCCGCGUGAGGGAUGACGGCCUUCGGGUUGUAAACCUCUUUCAGCACAGACGAAGCGCAAGUGACGGUAUGUGCAGAAGAAGGACCGGCCAACUACGUGCCAGCAGCCGCGGUAAUACGUAGGGUCCGAGCGUUGUCCGGAAUUAUUGGGCGUAAAGGGCUCGUAGGCGGUUUGUCGCGUCGGGAGUGAAAACACCGGGCUUAACUCGGUGCUUGCUUCCGAUACGGGCAGACUAGAGGCAUUCAGGGGAGAACGGAAUUCCUGGUGUAGCGGUGAAAUGCGCAGAUAUCAGGAGGAACACCGGUGGCGAAGGCGGUUCUCUGGGAAUGUCCUGACGCUGAGGAGCGAAGUGUGGGGAGCGAACAGG